UCUCCGUAGGUGAACCUGCGGAGGGAUCAUUACAGAGUUCUCGCCCUCGCGGGUAGAUCUCCCACCCACUGUUAUCGUUACUGUGUUGCUUUGGCGGGUCGCCGGGCCCCGCUCGGCCGCCGGCUCCGGCUGGCGCGCGCCCGCCAGAGGCCCAGCAAACUCUGAAUGUUAGUGUCGUCUGAGUACUAUAUAAUAGUUAAAACUUUCAACAACGGAUCUCUUGGUUCUG
This 229-nucleotide unclassified non-coding RNA is filed under the name plant metagenome. Its description in RNAcentral is "partial contains small subunit ribosomal RNA, internal transcribed spacer 1, and 5.8S ribosomal RNA". The record is from RNAcentral.